CCUACGGGCGGCAGCAGUGGGGAAUAUUGGACAAUGGGGGGAACCCUGAUCCAGCGACGCCGCGUGAGUGAAGAAGGAUUUCGGUAUGUAAAGCUCUAUCAGCAGGGAAGAAAAUGACGGUACCUGACUAAGAAGCCCCGGCUAACGACGGGCCAGCAGCCGCGGUAAGACGGAGGGGGCAAGCGUUAUCCGGAUUUCCUGGGGGUAAAGGGAGCGUAGAAGGUUCAGCAAGGCUGCUGUGAAAGGUCGGGGCCCAACCCCGGGACUGCAUUGGAAACUUUUGAACUGGAGUACAGGAGAGGUAAGCGGCAUUCCUAGCGUAGCGGUGUCAUGCGUAGAUAUUAGGAGGAACACCAGUGGCGAAGUCGGCUUACUGGACUGUAACUGACGUUGAGGCUCGAAAGCGUGGGGAGCAAACAGGAUUAGAUACCCCUGUAGUC
RNAcentral lists this ribosomal RNA (440 nucleotides) under uncultured bacterium. Its description in RNAcentral is "partial 16S ribosomal RNA". It matches the Rfam family "Bacterial small subunit ribosomal RNA", at positions 338 to 795 of the family's 1533-position model. The record is from RNAcentral.